GAGUUAUUUUCAUUCCAUUAUACUUACUAUCGUGUUAGUUAUAUCGAUAGUAAUUUUGCUAAGGAAAAAAAAACUAAGACAAUUUACUUUGGCUGCUCAAAUACCUGGUCCAAAAGGUCAUUUUAUUGUCGGAAGCCUGACGAUUUUAAUUCGACGACAAAUAAAGUUUAUAAAGAACUUGAAACAAUUAUGUAAGAAGUACAAGCAUUCAUUAUUUAAAUUUUGGUUUUUUAACAAGUUGGUUGUUUGUGUAUCCAACGCCGAUGAUGUAGAGGAAGUAAUGAAUAGUUUAAACUGUUUUCAAAAGAAUAUACC
Adelges cooleyi (spruce gall adelgid) is the source of this 315-nucleotide long non-coding RNA. RefSeq lists it as uncharacterized. The record is from RefSeq and is a predicted model, not a curated record. Lineage: Eukaryota; Metazoa; Arthropoda; Insecta; Hemiptera; Adelgidae. The transcript has 3 exons.